UGGUGUGCUGCAAUUCAUGGGGUCGCAAAGAGUCGGACACAACUGAGUGAUGAACUGAACUGAAACCCUCCUUAGGCUCAUAAUCAGAUUUGAUCCUAAGCAAAAUGUGAAAGACAUUUAGUUUAAACAUAGGAUAGUUUUAGUCCUUUCUAGGAUCUCAAGGGGUUUACUGGAUAACCCAAUUACGUUUUGGGCUUGCCUGGUGGCUCAGUGGUAAGAAUGCACUUAACAGUGCAAGAGAAGCAGUUUCAUCCCUGGGUUGGGAAGAUCCCCUGGAGAAGGAAGACAACCGACUCUAGUGUUCUUGCCUGGAGAAUCCCAGAGAUAGAGGAGCCUGGCAGGCUGCAGUCUGUGGAGUGUCAAAAGAGUUGGGCACCGCUGAGCACACGGGCACAUGCACUUCCAUAGUAGGACAGGGGUCAUCCUUGAGGGAAGAAAGAAAGCAUCUGAAUCACAACUUUAUCAGGAAAUGAGUUCCUUCUGCAGUCCGAUAUUGACUUCAUCAUAUUGGAUUGGUUCCAUGCUAUCAAAAAUGCAAUUGACAGAUUGCCAAAGGAUCCAAGUAGUCAUUCAAGAAACCUGGAAUUAUUUAAAAUCCAGAGAUCUUCCAGUACUGAACUACUAAGUCACUAUGAUAGUGAUAUAAAAGAACAGAAACCAGAGCACAGAAAAUCUUUAACAAACUUCUGAAUCUAAGUAAUAACCAUGGCGUUCAGAUUGGUGAUUGAUUUCGAGAGUGGGAAAUGUCAAGCGUCUCCAAACCUUGGUAUGCUGACUAUUUGAUUUUCAUACAUUAAAAUAUAUAUGAGUGACCUGACGUAAACCAACAGGCUAUGCAACUUUCCAUUUGUUUCAUCCACCAGAAAGAUUUAGAAAUGUGUAACGUGGACUAGAUAUCCUCCAAGGUCACAUCUAGGUCUGAUUUUCUAAAAAAAAAAAAA
This 941-nucleotide long non-coding RNA is filed under the name Capra hircus (goat). Its description in RNAcentral is "lncRNA (ENSCHIG00010003818.1)". The record is from RNAcentral. Lineage: Eukaryota; Metazoa; Chordata; Mammalia; Artiodactyla; Bovidae.